GAAUUAUUUUGAGAAGUUAAUUUUAUAGCUAGUGGUGACUCUUGUUUUAUUUGUCAUGCGAGCAGAAAACUUCCACAAAUGGGAGAAAAUGAAUCAUCAAACUCUUCGAAUCAUAUUGAAAAAACAUGCAAACAUAUUUCAAUUGAAAUUCCAGAGGACUUGGAGACUACCUUUCGGCCAGAGGAAUGUAUCUACAAAGCUCCAGCUGCACUUUGCGAUUCAAACAGAGCUUCCUACACUCCUCGGGUAAUUUCUAUAGGUCCUUUUCACCAUGAUAGUGAAAAACUGAGGCCUAUGGAAAUUCAGAAACAAAGAUAUCUGAAAGAAUUUUGUAAGAGAUUGCGAGGGAAACAAAGGAGCAAGUGCAAGAAUCUUUGAAUGUACUUUUGAGCACCAUUGGAGAUGAAAAAGAUGAAAUCAAACGCUGUUAUGCAGAUAAUACCUUUGAAUUUUCUAGCGAUGAUGAUCAGUUUGUGAAGAUGAUUCUGUUCGAUGCAGUGUUCAUCUUCGAGCUCUUCUUGAAGAAUGAAGAAGAUAUGCGCGAUAACAAACGAUAUCAAGAUGAUUUCAUCAUAGGCAAACCCUGGCUGAGAGCUGCGAUUCAACGGGACUUGAUAUUGCUUGAAAAUCAGCUUCCAUUCUUCAUUCUCGAGAAAUUAUAUAGCCUUGCCAUCGAGGAAACAAAGCCCACUUAUCGUUCUUUUCUGGACCUUUCCUGCCACUACUUUGAGAAGUACGGUAAGAACAAAACCAAGCCAGAUGAAACCAAGCCUUAUAAAGUGUUGCAUUUCACUGAUUUGGUAAGACAUUUUCUAUCCUUCAAGCACCCGCAGUUAAAAUCACCAGAUGGAAAGCAAGUUAAAAAUCUUUAUAGCGCAACCAUGCUGCACCAAGCAGGAAUUAAGUUCAAGGCAUUGCCGGAUGAAUGCUUGCUUGACAUAAGAGCCUGGAAGGAAAAUGAGAAUACAGUCAAGAAAGGUGAGUUACAUAUGCCACCACUUGAAAUCGACAACAGCACCGAAUGUCUCUUCCGAAACCUCAUGGCCUUGGAACAGUGUCAUUAUCCAAGAGAAGAGUUUAUCUGCCGUUAUGUUAAGCUAUUGGAUUUUCUUGUGGACGUUAAAAAGGAUGUGGAUUUGCUCAUUGAAAAUAAGGUUAUUGUUAGCAGGCUUGGUGACAGUAAAGCUGUGGCGGAGCUUAUUAACAAACUUUGCCUAGAAAUAGUAGAAGUUACUUCUGGUUAUGAUGCUCUCUCCCAACUGCUGAAUGAUUACUACGAGAGCUCUUGGAACAAAAACAAGGCAUACUUGGUUAGUGUGUAUUUCCACAAUGUUUGGAUUGGUACUGGAACUGUUAUUGGAUUAAUCAUCCUAGCCAUCACCGUGACGCGGUUUAUCCUAUUCUUUUUCCGCUAGUAUUCUAUGUUUUUGCUACGAAGAAAAGGCUCGAACUCGACAUCCCUGUAAAAGAAGAAGACAUGGAUGCUAGUUGAGCUACAAGCUUCUUGUUGGCUUUCCUCUAAAUAAAUUUGUAUCCCUCUAUGACUCACUGUGUCGCUCCCACUGUUGUGAAUGUGGCCGUGCCUGUAGAAUUUUAGUUUCCCUUGAAGUUAAUAAAUCUUGUCAUUCCUGUUGUAAGGUAACAACAACUAUUAUUGAACUUGAAGGUUUUCAUUAGCAAGGAUGUCAAUGAAUUGCGGUUUGCAUCAUUUCGACAUCUUUAUCGUCAUUAAAUACAACAUGUACGUGAGCAAAAUGUUUGCUCGUCUUUUUCUUCCUUUUCUCUUAGUUGUGUGGACAAAAACAAAAUGGUGCUAACCACCUGGCCUAAGAAAGAUGACCCAACCAGGUAGGAUCUGAAGGGGGGCAGAUGCCAGAUAUACUUUAACAGAGGUGUCGGUUUAGGUGAUCAAUCAAUGAACGCUUAUAUAAAAUAUACGACAAACAAUGCACUUUCACAAGCUCUCGUUCGUUGUUUUCUUGAUUGUUUUGUGUUAAAAAGGAAACAGACCUCUAUGUCAUCCGAGAAACACCGAAUUCAAUGGGCUAUCUGUCAUCCGUUUAAGUCGAAUUUUUGAAUUACAAGAGCUGAUAGAGUCAAGAUAUCAUAACCAUGUCAAGAUAUUUUACUAUCUCUCGUCCCCAAUUUUACAGAAUAUGCAUCCCAAAGGCACCGGAGAAAGUUGUCGUUCUUUCCCUUUCAUGUUUUUUCCCCUUACUUUCCAUGACAAGUAGCCAGCUAAAAGUCGGACCACCUCACUUUAAAAAGAGGCCCUACUUCCUCCGUCUGCAAUGUCUUUUCCCAUUUCAAGUCCCAUCUACUUAGGCCAUGCUUUUCAUGUGUUACUGUGAAAAACUAAUGCAUGACUGCAAUUUGACUUGCGGGGGUAGAUUACUAUUGAAACUAGUUUUUUCAGGAGGAAAGUCUAUCUUUAUUCAUUAUCAAAGUGGCAAUAUAUAUAGCUAUACAGAGGAUAAAAGAAAAGCUAAUACAACGCUAAUCCACAUCAACAUAGAUCAUAGCCAAAGGAAUACGUCAUUCCUUGAUUUCCAGGGAUUAUUAUUAACAAAAAGCUUUCAACAUCUUAGUAACAUUCCCUUUCUUAAAUUGACGAUACUGUCUUCAGUUUACUAUUGGAUCUUCACAAACACCCAAACAAACACCCAGCAAACAUACACCCAGCAAACAUAUGCAGCUUCUAAAAAACAACUCGUGUCAAGGAUUUAGUCAUGAUAUCAGCCAAUUGUUCUUAAGAGCAACAAUGUUGUAGCGUUACUACUCUAUCUGGAGUCAGAUUACGAAGGAAAUUAAAACAAACAUUAAUAUUUUUGCUUCGAUCGUGCAUAAUAGGAUUUCUAGAGAGUUUAAUAGUAUAACUAUUAUCACAGUAUAUCAUCGUAGUCCUAAUAGAGGCAUGAUUAAGUGUUUAUAACAUUCUUCUCAACCACACGGCCUGACAAGCACAAGAGGCAGCAAUAAUAAACUCAGUUUCAGUGGUGGAGAGUGUGAUGAUAUGUUGCUUUUUUUGAUGAACAUGAUAUAGCUCCAACACUUAGCAAAAACAAGAAACCCAAUGUACUUUUCCUAUCCUUGAAAUUAAUCUCCUGCAUAAUCAUUAUUGGUGUAGACAAGAAGCUUUUUAUUACCACAUUGUUUAUAAAAAAUUUCAUAUGUAAGUGUCCCUUUAAUAUAUCAAUAUAAUCUUAACAACUUGGAGGUGGAUUUUUAUAGGAUGUGCUAAAUACCUACUAAGCAAAUUAACAUCAAACAUAAUGUCAGGUUUGGUAGAUGUUAAAUAUUAUUAAACUUCCUCCACUACCAUGCUAGCAGAGUCUGUAAUUAACUUGAAUCUUGGAACAAUAGGAUUAUAUAUUGCAUUACACCUAGCCAUAUUAAAUCGUUCCAACACCUCCUAGGCAUAUUUUUUUUGGCAAAUAAAAAUACCAUCAGCUCGUUGUAGCACUUCUAAACCAAGAAAAUACUGCAUUCUUUCAAGAUCCGUCAUAUCAAAUUCCUUCAUCAAGGAAUGUUUAAAAGAGCUGAACAAAGUCUCAUCAUUUCCAGUAAAGAUGAGAUCAUCUACAUAAAGGCACACAAGCAAUAAGGUACUCCGUGAAGUUUUUUUGAUGAACAAAGUAUAUUCAUAAGGACAUUUCUCAAAUCCUUCUUUUAGAAAAUAGGCUUCAAUGCGGUUGUCCAAGCCCGUAGAGCUUGUUUCAAACCAUACAAAGCUCUUCAUAAGUGUUACAUCUUGUUUUCUGCUCCUUUUACUAUAUAACUAGAAGGUUGCUCAACGUACACCUCCUUAUUUAACUCAUCAUGAAGAAAAGCAUACUUUACAUCUAACUAAAACAUAUACCACCUCUUUUGAGCUAUUAGAGCAAGCACCAGUUGUAUAGUGUCCAUGCGAGCCACAUGGGUAAAGAACUUCGUGUAAUCCAUCUCAUGUUGUUGUGUGUACCUUUUGGCGACAAAGUGAAUCUUGUAUUUGCUGACUUCUCCAUGCUUAUUUGGCUUAAUCUUAUAUAUCGAUUUCACCCUAACUAUUUUUGCACCAUGAGGAAGAUUAGUGAGGUCCCAUGUAUUGUUUUUUUUUUGAAUGGCUUCAAUUUCAGAUUCCAUGGUAUAUCUUUAUUUGGCACUUUGAGUUGCAUCCUUAUAGAAUGAAAGGUUUGCAUCAACAAAUAAAGCAAAAUUAUCUUGAUGAUCCUCAUUAAAGAAGCCCUACCUACUAUCAUAGUCACGUAUCCAUACUGGUGGGUGUUGAGAAUGCCUUUCAACAGGACUAGAAAUAUGAUCAGUGAUUGUAUGUGCGUUGAUUGCUUGAUGCUCCAAAUUCUCCUCUUAAAAGCCAUCAUGAUUAUCAAUACUAAUGGAUCUACUGUCAUUGUUUUCUUCAUGACCUGUCCCACCCAAUUCGUUGUCUAUGGCUUCAUCCUGGAUAGUAUUGUUGCUGUUUUCAUCUAUAUCCCCCCACUCAAGAGAUGUUUGAAUUGUUUCAACAUGAUUUUUACUCUAGGGCCAACUGUCCUUUUCUUUAAAGAUAAUAUCACAACUGAAAAGUAUUUUUUGAUAAAGUAUAUCAUAUAAACAAUAGGCCUUGGACUCCUCGCUAAUGCCUAGCAAAACAUAUUUCAAGCUUUUACUAUCCAAUUUGAUGCAUUUGCUAUCCGGAACAUGAGCAUAAGAAACACAUCCAAACACUCGAAAAUGAGCAAUAAAUGGUUUAGUGCCACUUCAUGCCUCUUCUGGAGUUUUAUUUCGGACUGCAAGCAUUGGACUUCUGUUGAGAAUAUGUACUGCCCAGUUGAUAGCCUUGGGCUAAAAGGUUUUGAGAAUUCAUCUACUGGUGAGCAAACUUUGAACCAAGUUCAUGAUCAUGUGAUUUUUCUUUUCUGUCACUCCAUUUUGCUGAGAAGUGUAAUCCGCGGUGAGUUGACAGUGUAUCUCAUUAAUUGCACAAAACUAAAUGAACUCACUUGAUGUGAAUUCCCCGCCUCAAGAAAAAUUGAAGCCAAUGAAUGGAAGAAAAAUAAUAAUUAAAGGGAUCGGACUAUUGGGUUGACCUGUUAGAAAAUCUAGCCUGACAAAUUGAUAAGAAAUCCUGUAAUAUUAAAUGUUUGUUUUUUCGUUUCAAAAGUGCUUUUAAAAAAAAUUGAAAUUUUUUGAUUUUUUUCUUUGCUUUAAAUUAAUAUUUUUUUGUUGUUUUCAAAUCAUUUCGAUGUGUUGAUAUCAAAAAUAAUUUUUUAAAAAUAAAAAUAUAUAUUAUUUUGAUGCAUUUCUAAGUAAAAAUGCUUUGAAAAACAACCAAAUAGCUUGAUUAAUCUAUUAGACCUGGUUACAUUCUACGGGAUUCGACAAUAGAAAAAAAUUUACCAUGUAAUAUAAAUAUUCUUAGAUCAUAUUGCAUGUCAAUUAAAAUUAAAUUUUUUAUUAAACAAUAUUAAGAACACACAUUCUAUAUCAAUUUUAUAUAUUUAAAAUAAUUAAAUGAAUUGUUAUGAAUACUGAUUUUAAGAGUCUGAAUUAAAGAUUCAAGAAAGACAACAAACUUCAUUAAUCUCCAAGCCAAUUUCUUAGGAUCUUGUGCUCCUCAAGUUUACACGUGUUGAUUUCACAAUCAUAAUUAUUUUUAUAUAACGACAUAUCUAUAUCUAAUUAGUUUUGUUUAAAAUUAUGUCAUAUUCCGAGUGUCUCAACUUAAUGCAAAUACAAUUAUUGUUUUUAGACAUGCACAAGUAUAAAAAAUGCAGUGUUUAGUUCAACAAAUCCAACGGCCAGCGAAUUUCAGUAUAAAAAAACAAGAAAGAAAAUACAAAAUACAGUUAUGGCUGCACCUUUCCUGGACAUGAAAUUAGAGAAAGAUAAGUAGAAAUUGUAUAAUAAUGCUGGACACAAACUCGGCUUGGUUUAUCAUUGUGUUUGGUAAUUUAUUAUGAUUUGUUUUUUAAUUAAAAAUAUAUUAAAAUAAUUUUUUAUUUUUUUAAUUAAUAAAUUAAAAUCAUAAAAAUACAUCAAUUUAAUUUUGUUUAAAUAAAUUUUUUUUAAAAAUUACUUUGCAAGGAAAAAGUUACGAGCACUAAGAUUCGAAAUUUAGCCACUUGAAUUCUGGGUUUAUUUUUAUACACGUUUAAAAGACAUAAAAAUAAUAUUUUUUUAGCUUGAAACAGAAAUAAAUACAUAGAAAAACAAGCACCAGCCGCGAGACAAACCAUUAUAGCAGUAGAGACACGAGAGCACUGCCACAAUAAAUAUACUUGUGCUGGGAUUGUUGAACGAACCAUCAAAAGCCAACUACCAGUAAACCUAACCACAUACGGAUUUUUGUUUUAUCACCUCAAUGAUAAAUACAAUUUAGAUAUUUAUGAUUUCUUUUUGGCUAAACAGCUUAAACCUCUGGGAAUAUUAACCCAUUUAUUAAUUAAAAUCACAUUCUUUUAUCAAAUAUUAAUUAUAUGUUCAUUCAUUAAAAACCUCUAAUGUGUGAAAGUCACUUGUAAACUGAUCUAAACUCUUUAUUUAUUAUUUAUUAUUUAUUUUUAGAUAUCUAUUUUGAGUAUACGAUGAAUGAAAUAUUAAUAGUGGUUGAUUCAAGUAGUUCAACGCUUGCUUCUUUUAAAUAAGGUUUUAAAUUCUAGUCUCGUAGAUAUAAUAUAUCAUUGUCGAGAGAGCUUCUUCUUUUAGUGGAUCAAUUUGGCUUAAUAAAAUUAUUCGGGGCCUAGUGAAUUUCCAGAUCCUAGGAUUUAGAUAAAAAAAAUGAUAAUUGAACUAUUUUUCUAAUUUAUUUCUCACCAUCUAAUUAAAAAAAAAAAAAAAAACAGCAACAAAAAACGCCAGUAAUUUCAGAACUAGCCACCCAAACUUGAUUAAAUCAGAUUUCAUUAAAUCAGGCAUCAAUUGGCAUUGCAAUCAUCCAACUAAAAACGCCAAUAAUUUAUUUCAUUUGUCCCUCUCGGUCAUGGCAGCCCCCUGUAGCAUAGUCAAAAGGUAGCUUUUUUAUGCUCCACAAAAAACCUUCAUCCUUAUCCUGUUCCUUUUACUUUCCCUGCAUAACCUCUUCCCAUCUGGACCCAUGCUAGCGUGACUAAAGAAAAGAGUUGUCCAUGAAUUAUUAGUGAGGUGAAAUGCAUGUUUUUCGAACCAAGCCCCACUGACCUUGAGAUAUUUAGAGUGUGUUUGGUAUUGCGGUAGUUGUUGUGAUUGUGGUUUGAAAAAAGUUGUUUUAUAAAAAGUAUUUUUAGUUGAGGUUGAUUUGAAAAAAUAAGUGUUUGGUUAAAAUUAUGGUUGAAAUUGAGGUUGAAAAAAAAGUAGUUUAAUGUGUUUGGUUUAAAAAAUGUUUUUCCAAUUGAGGUUAUAAAAUAAUUUUAUAAAAUAUAUAUUAAUAUUGAUGGUUUUAAAUUUAAAUAUUGUAAAAUUAAUUACUCCUAUUAUAUCAUGAAAAAAAUAAUACUUUAUAUAAAAUAUUUUUUUAUUAUUCUAUUAAACUAUUUAUAAUUUCAUUACAUACAAAAUUCAUUCGAUAAAAACUACAAAAUUGAUAUUACUGUGCGAGUGAAUUUAAUUCACUCUAUACUAGUUUUUCAAGAAAAAAUUUUGAGAAAAAAAAUAUUGUUCACGUCGCGAACGAAUUUAAUUCUGCAAACUAUUUUUUUUUUUUUAAAAAUAUAAUACAAUUAACACAUUAAAAAAAAAAAAAAACCCUGCAGACAGUGCAAGUGAAUUGCACUGUUCACGUGAACAAUGCAAUUCACUUGUGAACAGUGCAAUGAAUUGCACUGUUCCUUGUUUUUUAUUAGCCGCAUAGAACGAAAAGCAUGUUUUCGUUGCUUUUCCGUUUCAGCGUUUCAAACGCAAAAUUCAUGUGGGUAUCAUGCACAGUAAAUCACUUUUUUUAAUUACCAAACAGCUGCGGAUUGCGUUUUAAAUAAAACGCAGCCGCAACCGCGUAGACAAACGGACUCUUAGUCUGCUGGUCACUGUUUUGAGUCCACUUCAUUAUCAUUACAAAUCAGAUUCAUUUUUUUAUUUUUAUUGGAGGAAUGUAAUUUAAUUAAUUAAAUUUUAAAUUUAUUUUUAGAAAUUAUUAGUUUAACUUCCAAAAAUCUUAAAAUUAUUAAAGACUUGUAUAAUCGUUAAUUUUAAAACUUGUAAAAUUAAUCAAGGUAUAUAUAAAUUAUUUUAGACGUUCACAUUAAUAAAAUAUACAAAAGAUUUAGAUUUUUUUGGUUGGCAGCCACAAUUUUAGUUUUGUUGUGAAAAAUCGUGGUCUCUCAAGUUUUUAUUCAUUCAAAUGUGGUCAUUGAUCUUCAUUUUCUCUUAUUUUCAUCAUCAAAAGUUAUAAUAUUUUUGUCCUAUAUGUUAUUACGCGUCCGAGCAAUCAGAGAUUAUUUCGGGGUUAAAUGAUAGGUCUCUUAGUUUUUGUUAAGAACAAUAUUUAAAAAACAAGAUUAAAAUUGAUAUCGAUAAAAAUCAACUACCUUUCCCCAUCAGUAUUGCUCAAGAUAUGCAUAAAUGUACAUUUUAGUCCCUCAAGAUUUUAAUUAUUUAUACUUGGUCCCUUCUAUUUCUGGAUUUGCUAUAACUGGAUUGUGUGAACAAUUUAAAGGGAUAAUUAUGGGCUAAUAAAAAAAGGCUAAGUGCAAGAAAAGUUCUAAGUUCCAAAAACUAGUUUUAUAGGGGCUAGCUUGGUAUAACUAGUCUAGAUUCAGAAGGAUUCCAAAUUAGACUUAUAAGGUUUUGUUUCGGUUAGAGAAACAAACUAUUUUAAAAAAAUUAAUUUUUAAAUUAAUUUUUUUUGUAUGGUUAUGAUAUUCGGUGAAAUUGAUACCAUGGAUGCGUCACCAUGGAGGCGUCACUGUGGGUCAACCCGCUGUACCCCCAAGGUCUGAUAGCUGUAUAAAAGAGUGCUAUCACCUUACUAAAGAGCAUCACAAAACACAAAAACAGACACAGAGACAGACACAGAGAGAGAGACUGCAUUCAACGUAUCAGUAUAGCUUCGAGGAAAUCUAGAGCCUCCCGCUUCUCAGGUUUAGGUACUAGUUUUUUCUUCUGUUCAUACUCCCUUGUUUCAUUAUUUUUGUUCCAACAACUGAGAACGUUUAAAGCUCCCAAAUCAUUGAAGGUUUCUUAAUUUCAGUGUUACAAAGCUCACAUGGUAUGCAUUAACAAUAAACCUUCGAUCACCUUUAUAACCUGAAAUGGUCAGGGUUUUCGCCUUCCCCCCACUUACUUUGCAAGGGAUGAAGUUCGGUUAUAGUUUUUUAUUUUUUAUUACUCCAUGUAUUCCAAUUAAAGUUUGGUUGCAGUUCUUUUUUUCUAGAUCAAAACACCAAGUUCUAUAAUACUAGGCUGCUAGCUGCUUGUUUGUUUUAGUACCUUCUCCUUCUUCUAGCUAACUUGGGGCAGCUACAUGAUGCUUGAGGAAGAACUCUUGGCUGUGCAUAUACAAUAUCUAGUUCAGAAACCCCCAAUUUCCAUGAUAUAUGGAACAUUAUGCUAUACAAACCCUGAACCGUGUAUUUUACUAGAAAAUCUAAUUUGGCUUGUUUGGUUAGUAGAAGAAACCGAGCAAGCAACUAAUUGCUCCAAACGAUCCACUGUGAUAAGUUUGAGAUGUUAUGAAAGUCAGACUCCUGAUAAAUUUGAUGUUUUGCAUAGUAUUGACUUAUAGACCGGUGUAUAAUUUAUAUAUAGAAUUCGAUGUUUUGAGAUGCCGUGAAAGUUCUUGCUAGCGAGUAUGCAUAGAAUUGUUUUGAGAAGUUAAUUUUAUUGCUAGUGGUGACUCUUGUUUUAUUUGUCAUGCGAGCAGAAAACUUCCACAAAUGGGAGAAAAUGAACCAUCAAACUCUUCGAAUCAUAUUGAAAAAACAUGCAAACAUAUUUCAAUUGAAAUUCCAGGGGACUUAUUUCCAAAGGACUUGGAGACUACCUUUCGGCCAGAGGAAUGUAUCUACAAAGCUCCAGCUGCACUUUGCGAUUCAAACAGAGCUUGCUACACUCCUCGGGUAAUUUCUAUAGGUCCUUUUCACCAUAGUAAUAAAAAACUGAGGCCUAUGAAAAUUCAGAAACAAAGAUAUCUGAAAGAAUUCUGUAAGAGAUUGGGAGGGGAAACAAAGGUGCAAGAAUCUUUGAAAGUACUUUGGAGCACCAUUCAAAGUCUUGAAGAUAAAAUCAAACGCUGUUAUGCAGAUAAUACGUUUGUUAAAUUUUCUAGCAAUGAUGAUAAGUUUGUGAAGAUGAUUCUGUUAGAUGCAGUGUUCAUCUUCGAGCUCUUCUUGAAGAAUGAAGAAGAUACACGCGAUAACAAACGAUAUCAAGAUGAUUUCAUCAUAGGCAAACCCUGGCUGAGAGCUGCGAUUCAACGGGACUUGAUAUUGCUUGGAAAUCAGCUUCCAUUCUUCAUUCUCGAGAAAUUAUAUAGCCUUGCCAUCGAGGAAACAAAGCCCACUUAUAGUUCUUUUCUGGAC
RNAcentral lists this long non-coding RNA (10469 nucleotides) under Populus tremula. Its description in RNAcentral is "long non-coding RNA (PTRE_LNC000915)". Lineage: Eukaryota; Viridiplantae; Streptophyta; Magnoliopsida; Malpighiales; Salicaceae. The record is from RNAcentral.